GUAAGACAAGCUUCCUAAAUUGCUGCUAGUAACUGGCCCAGCUCUCAGUCCCACCCAGGCAAUUUCUCAGAGAUCAGUGCAGUCAGGAGCAUCAGAAUUAGGAAAUCAGAAGGAAACAAUUCAGGCUGUUGCAGUUGUCCUUAACAUUUUGUGAUGCAAUUCCAUGUUUUGCCACACUUAAUUUUAUUAUUGCAUAACCAUUUCUUUUGUGCACCUAGACCUCUGGAACAACACUGGAAUUUUUGCAAACAACUACCAAAGAUGUCAUGCUUGCUUCAAACUGCUUGUAGGUGAAACAACAGCUGGAUGAGAAGUACAGUAAACAGGUAAGUAAUGGAGAGAUUAUCCUUUAUGUAAUAAGCAAUACUCACAGCCAAGUGAGUGCUUUGUUAAAGGAAGAGCAGUGGUGCUUUACAACAAAUGUUCCUUUGUAUUGCAAACUCCAGCCAGUCUUCUGUGUCAACAAGACCUAUUUCCUCUGCCUUGGGACAGAAGCCGAAUGACAUGUGAGCUAGCAGAUACACGGGCUGAUGUGUCUUGCAUUGCUAUAGGAUCUGGACUGCAUUGGAAAAAUUCUUGAUCCACUUCAGUAAACUAAAACAACAGCUUUUCUGUCAAAUUCAGAGGAAAAAGUACAAGAAAAAAUGAGGAUUUAUCGCCAUCUGGAGGGGAUCUCAGCGGUGCUGCCCUGCAAGUGCAUCAGGAUGCUGCAGCAAUGGCAUUACUGCGGUCUCCAGAAUGUCUGUAAGGGACACAGCCCUCAUCGUGCUGCUCUCCCCACAGCUUUUUCUGUUCCUCUGGCACCCAAUGAAGAUCUGCCAUGAGGAUGGUUUCACUGAGCACCAGGGACCACCGGUGAAGACCUGUAGACAUCCUCUCUUUACCAGGUAUGAAAUGGGGAUUUUUAGUUGAGGAGGCUCUUUAAUAGAGGCAAUACCAGAAAAACUUGUAAAAAAACACGGUACACCUUGAGCCUUUCCCAGUCAAGGAAAGAAAUUACUGCCAUUUCCCAAAGCAGGCGUUAGGCUUUGUAGGGCUGCCAAAACUGUCACCAGGUACCACUGACCCAGCAAGAAACAUGUUAGUAGAAGCACUCAGUCAUGCACAUCAGACAGGUACACCUGGAAGAGCCAGUGCUGUCUUGCCAGGGGCUCAAAGCAAAUAUCCACGGCUGGGGACAGAUAACUC
RNAcentral lists this long non-coding RNA (1188 nucleotides) under Calidris pugnax (ruff). RNAcentral's name for it is "lncRNA (ENSCPUG00000012352.1)". Lineage: Eukaryota; Metazoa; Chordata; Aves; Charadriiformes; Scolopacidae. The record is from RNAcentral.